This 846-nucleotide long non-coding RNA is filed under the name Panax ginseng (ginseng). RNAcentral describes it as "long non-coding RNA (PGIN_LNC007345)". The record is from RNAcentral. Lineage: Eukaryota; Viridiplantae; Streptophyta; Magnoliopsida; Apiales; Araliaceae.
AAUAGAAAAGUUAGAGAAAGGCUCUCCAUUCUCUCUAGAAUUUCCCCCCCUCCCCCAUCUUUCAUUUCGCCUCCACCCCUCUCAUUCGGCCCACCCAAUUCCCUUUCCUCCCUUCCCUUCCACUUCGGCUCACCAUCUCCUCCUAUCCUCUUCCAUCGAUCUUGCAUGGAGCUAUUCAUGCCUUGUCAGCGGAUGAAUGUGGGUCUUCUUUCCUUUUUUGAUUUGUAAUGAGCCAAGUCUGAGGGUACUAGAUCAUGGGUUUUCUCUCUUUGAUCAGUAGGGAGCUUGAUCUUUGUGUGUGCUAGAUUUGGAGUUAUGAUUUGGUGUGGAGGCACUAUGGUUGGGGUUUCGGAUCUUGAUGGUUGCUGGUGUUUUGGAGUUUUGGAAGAUGGUUCUUUGCGAAUCUAGUUUAUGUGUUUUCUGUUCAUUUGCGUCUUAAAUCAUAUCUUGUUUUCCUCUUGUCGGAUCAUGGGUCAGUCUGGUUAUCUGGAUUCGCUGAUUUAGGGCCCCUAUGGUUUCGGCUGCUUUGAUCUAAAGUCCUUUCGGUGACGAUUUGGGCUCUUGGGUUUGUCACGAUCUGAGCUUAUGAUGGUUUCACGUAUAUCUUGCUCAUGACCAAAUUGAAAAGGAAACUAAUAAAUCCACAACAUAAAAUGUUAUUUUUACAACAAAAGUGUCGUUAUAGAUCUUAUAGCGACGAUUUUUACUGUCAUUAUAUAUCUACAACGACACUUUUGUUGUAAAAAUAAAAAAAAGUGUUGUGGAUUUAAUAAUUUCUGAAAAAAAAUAGUAUGCAUACAAGUCAAUCAUGUUUGAUGAUAAAACAUAUAUUUUAUAACAAUCUUA